UGGGCCGGCAAGACGGUCGCGUCAUUCGUGUCGCAAGGCACAGAUGCCGAGGAACGUCCGGGCUCCGCAGAGCAGGAUGGUGGGUAACACCCACCCGGGGCAACCCGCGAGACAGUGCCACAGAAAACAGACCGCCGCUGAAUCUGGCCUUCGGGUCGUGUUCGGGGGUAAGGGUGAAACGGUGGUGUAAGAGACCACCAGCGGCCAGGGUGACCUGGUCGGCUCGGUAAACCUCGUCCGGAGCAAGGUCAGACAGGAAACUAUGAGGCUGCUCGUCUCGUUUCCGGGUAGGCCGCUAGAGGGCUGCGGCAACGUAGUCCCGAGAGAGAUGGCCGUCCAGCGCUUUCGAGCGUGAACAGAACCCGGCGUAUCAGCCGGCCCAUUCC
RNAcentral lists this RNase P RNA (386 nucleotides) under Leifsonia sp. Root112D2. RNAcentral describes it as "Bacterial RNase P class A". It matches the Rfam family "Bacterial RNase P class A". From Rfam's summary of the family: Ribonuclease P (RNase P) is a ubiquitous endoribonuclease, found in archaea, bacteria and eukarya as well as chloroplasts and mitochondria. Its best characterised activity is the generation of mature 5'-ends of tRNAs by cleaving the 5'-leader elements of precursor-tRNAs. Lineage: Bacteria; Bacillati; Actinomycetota; Actinomycetes; Micrococcales; Microbacteriaceae. The record is from Rfam by way of RNAcentral.